UACGUAGGGGGCAAGCGUUGUCCGGAUUUAUUGGGCGUAAAGAGCGUGUAGGCGGCUUGGCAAGUCCGCUGUGAAAACUCGAGGCUCAACCUCGAGACGUCGGUGGAAACUGCCUGGCUAGAGUCCGGAAGAGGAGAGUGGAAUUCCUGGUGUAGCGGUGAAAUGCGCAGAUAUCAGGAAGAACACCCGUGGCUAAGGCGGCUCUCUAGUACGGUACUGACGCUGAGACGCGAAAGCGUGGGGAGCGAACAGG
Molecule: ribosomal RNA, 253 nt
Filed under: Gaiella sp.
Lineage: Bacteria; Bacillati; Actinomycetota; Thermoleophilia; Gaiellales; Gaiellaceae
Also listed under: 1 other name
Description: partial 16S ribosomal RNA
Rfam family: Bacterial small subunit ribosomal RNA
Source: RNAcentral